This 440-nucleotide ribosomal RNA is filed under the name uncultured bacterium. Its description in RNAcentral is "partial 16S ribosomal RNA". It matches the Rfam family "Bacterial small subunit ribosomal RNA", at positions 338 to 795 of the family's 1533-position model. The record is from RNAcentral.
CCUACGGGUGGCAGCAGUGGGGAAUAUUGCACAAUGGGGGAAACCCUGAUGCAGCGACGCCGCGUGAGUGAAGAAGUAUUUCGGUAUGUAAAGCUCUAUCAGCAGGGAAGAAAAUGACGGUACCUGACUAAGAAGCCCCGGCUAAAUACGUGCCAGCAUCCGCGGUAAUACGUAGGGGGCAAGCGUUAUCCGGAUUUACUGGGUGUAAAGGGAGCGUAGACGGCAGCGCAAGUCUGAAGUGAAAUCCCAUGGGUUAACCAUGGAACUGCUUUGGAAACUGUGCAGCUGGAGUGCAGGAGAGGUAAGCGGAAUUCGUAGGGUAGCGGGGAAAUGCGUAGAUAUUAGGAGGAACACCAGUGGCGAAGGCGGCUUACUGGACUGUAACUGACGUUGAGGCUCGAAAGCGUGGGGAGCAAACAGGAUUAGAUACCCUUGUAGUC